GUUGUAUGGUUAAGUGACUAAGCGUACAUGGUGGAUGCCUUGGCAGUCAGAGGCGAUGAAGGACGUACUAACCUGCGAUAAGCCGUGAGCAGUCGGUAAGAGACAUUACGACUCACGGAUUUCCGAAUGGGGAAACCCACUUAGCAUAAGCUAGGUAUCGCUACGUGAAUACAUAGCGUAGCGAGGCGAACCGGGAGAACUGAAACAUCUAAGUACCCCGAGGAAAAGAAAUCAACCGAGAUUCCCUCAGUAGCGGCGAGCGAACGGGGAUUAGCCCUUAAGCAUCUUGGAAGUUAGUGGAACGGUCCUGGAAAGGCCGGCGAUACAGGGUGAUAGCCCCGUACACGAAAACAACCUUGAUGUGAAAUCGAGUAGGGCGGGACACGUGACAUCCUGUCUGAAUAUGGGGGACCAUCCUCCAAGGCUAAAUACUCCUGACUGACCGAUAGUGAACCAGUACCGUGAGGGAAAGGCGAAAAGAACCCCUGUGAGGGGAGUGAAAUAGAACCUGAAACCGUGUACGUACAAGCAGUGGGAGCCCUUCGGGGUGACUGCGUACCUUUUGUAUAAUGGGUCAGCGACUUACAUUUUGUAGCGAGGUUAACCGUAUAGGGGAGCCGUAGGGAAACCGAGUCUUAACUGGGCGUCUAGUUGCAAGGUGUAGACCCGAAACCGGGUGAUCUAGCCAUGGGCAGGUUGAAGGUUGAGUAACAUCAACUGGAGGACCGAACCCACUAACGUUGCAAAGUUAGGGGAUGACCUGUGGCUGGGGGUGAAAGGCCAAUCAAACUCGGAGAUAGCUGGUUCUCCCCGAAAGCUAUUUAGGUAGCGCCUCGGACGAAUACUACUGGGGGUAGAGCACUGUUUGGGCUAGGGGGUCAUCCCGACUUACCAACCCCAUGCAAACUCCGAAUACCAGUAAGUAAUAUCCGGGAGACACACGGCGGGUGCUAACGUCCGUCGUGAAGAGGGAAACAACCCAGACCGCCGGCUAAGGUCCCAAAGUUCUGGUUAAGUGGGAAACGAUGUGGGAAGGCUCAGACAGCUAGGAUGUUGGCUUAGAAGCAGCCAUCAUUUAAAGAAAGCGUAAUAGCUCACUAGUCGAGUCGGCCUGCGCGGAAGAUGUAACGGGGCUCAAACCAGGCACCGAAGCCGCGGAUUCACACUAAGUGUGAGUGGUAGGGGAGCGUUCUGUAAGUCUGCGAAGGUGUGUCGAGAGGCAUGCUGGAGAUAUCAGAAGUGCGAAUGCUGACGUAAGUAACGAUAAAGGGGGUGAAAAGCCUCCUCGCCGGAAGACCAAGGGUUCCUGUCCAACGUUAAUCGGGGCAGGGUGAGUCGACCCCUAAGGCGAGGCCGAAAGGCGUAGUCGAUGGGAAGCAGGUUAAUAUUCCUGCACGACUUGUAAUUGCGAUGGGGGGACGGAGAAGGCUAGGUGGGCCAGGCGACGGUUGUCCUGGUGAAAGUGCGUAGGUGGUGUUUCUAGGCAAAUCCGGAGACACAACACUGAGACACGAGACGAACACACUACGGUGUGGAAGCCAUUGAUGCCCUGCUUCCAGGAAAAGCCUCUAAGCUUCAGAUUACAAGUCAUCGUACCCCAAACCGACACAGGUGGUCGGGUAGAGAAUACCAAGGCGCUUGAGAGAACUCGGGUGAAGGAACUAGGCAAAAUAGAACCGUAACUUCGGGAGAAGGUUCGCUCUUGACAGUGAAGUCCCUUGCGGAUGGAGCAGUUGGGAGUCGCAGUGACCAGAUGGCUGGGACUGUUUAUCAAAAACACAGCACUCUGCAAACACGAAAGUGGACGUAUAGGGUGUGACACCUGCCCGGUGCCGGAAGGUUAAUUGAUGGGGUUAGCGCAAGCGAAGCUCUUGAUCGAAGCCCCGGUAAACGGCGGCCGUAACUAUAACGGUCCUAAGGUAGCGAAAUUCCUUGUCGGGUAAGUUCCGACCUGCACGAAUGGUGUAACCAUGGCCAUGCUGUCUCCACCCGAGACUCAGUGAAAUCGAAUUCGCCGUGAAGAUGCGGUGUACCCGCGGCUAGACGGAAAGACCCCGUGAACCUUUACUACAGCUUGGCACUGAACAUUGAACCUACAUGUGUAGGAUAGGUGGGAGGCUUUGAAGGCGUGACGCCAGUUGCGCUGGAGCCGUCCUUGAAAUACCACCCUUGUAUGUUUGAUGUUCUAACGCAGGCCCGUGAAUCCGGGUCGCGGACAGUGCCUGGUGGGUAGUUUGACUGGGGCGGUCUCCUCCCAAAGAGUAACGGAGGAGCACGAAGGUUGGCUAAUCCUGGUCGGACAUCAGGAGGUUAGUGCAAUGGCAUAAGCCAGCUUAACUGCGAGACGGACAGGUCGAGCAGGUACGAAAGUAGGUCAUAGUGAUCCGGUGGUUCUGAAUGGAAGGGCCAUCGCUCAACGGAUAAAAGGUACUCCGGGGAUAACAGGCUGAUACCGCCCAAGAGUUCAUAUCGACGGCGGUGUUUGGCACCUCGAUGUCGGCUCAUCACAUCCUGGGGCUGAAGUCGGUCCCAAGGGUAUGGCUGUUCGCCAUUUAAAGUGGUACGCGAGCUGGGUUCAGAACGUCGUGAGACAGUUCGGUCCCUAUCUGCCGUGGGCGUUGGAUGAUUGAAGGGAGUUGCUCCUAGUACGAGAGGACCGGAGUGAACGAACCUCUGGUGUUCGGGUUGUCACGCCAGUGGCACUGCCCGGUAGCUAAGUUCGGAAUCGAUAACCGCUGAAAGCAUCUAAGCGGGAAGCGAGCCCUGAGAUGAGUCAUCCCUGACCCCUUGAGGGUCCUAAAGGGCCGUUGGAGACCACAACGUUGAUAGGUGGGGUGUGUAAGCGCGGCGACGUGUUGAGCUAACCCAUACUAAUUACCCGUGAGGCUUAACCAUACAACACCCAAGAAGUGUUCU
RNAcentral lists this ribosomal RNA (2916 nucleotides) under Aeromonas hydrophila. RNAcentral's name for it is "23S ribosomal RNA". It matches the Rfam family "Bacterial large subunit ribosomal RNA". The record is from RNAcentral. Lineage: Bacteria; Pseudomonadati; Pseudomonadota; Gammaproteobacteria; Aeromonadales; Aeromonadaceae.